This 253-nucleotide ribosomal RNA is filed under the name uncultured bacterium. RNAcentral describes it as "partial 16S ribosomal RNA". It matches the Rfam family "Bacterial small subunit ribosomal RNA", at positions 524 to 776 of the family's 1533-position model. The record is from RNAcentral.
UACGUAGGGGGCUAGCGUUGUCCGGAUUUAUUGGGCGUAAAGAGCGUGUAGGCGGCCAGGUAGGUCUGCUGUGAAAACUCGAGGCUCAACCUCGAGACGUCGGCGGAAACCAUCUGGCUAGAGUCCGGAAGAGGAGAGUGGAAUUCCUGGUGUAGCGGUGAAAUGCGCAGAUAUCAGGAAGAACACCCGUGGCGAAGGCAAUUCACUGGCACAUUCCUGACACUCAAACACGAAAGCGUGGGUAGCGAAUGGG